UCCUCAAGACGAAUCUAAAAAUGAAUAGUUGUAUCAUUUUAACAGAGAUAUGUCUGUCUUCUAAUCUCUAGAUGCCAGACUGAGAUCUCCUCAUUAGUAACUCUUGGAAAGAUUAUGCAAAGAGCUUUUGACUUCUUCUACUAGGAGAGGAGAAACCAUGGACAAUUAUUUUUUCCUUGGUAAUCUUUCAUUCACUCCUGGAUGAAGAUCAGCUGCAACAGCAUGUAUGAGAGACAUGGCUGCUUCACAUCCUUGUCCAUAUCUUCGCUUAAUGAAGA
Pan paniscus (pygmy chimpanzee) is the source of this 278-nucleotide long non-coding RNA. Lineage: Eukaryota; Metazoa; Chordata; Mammalia; Primates; Hominidae. The record is from Ensembl.